CCGAAGGGUCGCUAGGGUUCCGGUCGCGCUGCGCGCGAUGUCUGGUCCAAGAGCAACCGGCCUCAGGCGCGCUCGACCGCGUCCAGGCUCCACGGCGGGACAAAAGCCCGGGAGGU
This 116-nucleotide small RNA is filed under the name Cupriavidus necator. RNAcentral describes it as "Ralstonia eutropha Guanidine-I sequence". It matches the Rfam family "Guanidine-I riboswitch aptamer". From Rfam's summary of the family: This family represents a conserved RNA structure found upstream of the ykkC and yxkD genes in Bacillus subtilis and related genes in other bacteria. The record is from RNAcentral. RNAcentral also lists the same sequence under 1 other name. Lineage: Bacteria; Pseudomonadati; Pseudomonadota; Betaproteobacteria; Burkholderiales; Burkholderiaceae.